UACGGAGGGUGCGAGCGUUGUCCGGAAUUAUUGGGCGUAAAGGGCGCGUAGGCGGCUUUUCAAGUGACGGGUGAAAUCCCUCGGCUUAACCGAGGAACUGCCUGUCAGACUGGAAGGCUUGAGACCGGGAGAGGUGAGUGGAAUUCCCAGUGUAGCGGUGAAAUGCGUAGAUAUUGGGAGGAACACCGGUGGCGAAGGCGGCUACCUGGACCGGUACUGACGCUGAGGCGCGAAAGCUAGGGUAGCAAACAGG
Molecule: ribosomal RNA, 253 nt
Filed under: uncultured bacterium
Lineage: Bacteria
Description: partial 16S ribosomal RNA
Rfam family: Bacterial small subunit ribosomal RNA
Source: RNAcentral